RNAcentral lists this long non-coding RNA (1710 nucleotides) under Macaca mulatta (Rhesus monkey). Its description in RNAcentral is "lncRNA (ENSMMUG00000045851.2)". The record is from RNAcentral. Lineage: Eukaryota; Metazoa; Chordata; Mammalia; Primates; Cercopithecidae.
AGACUAGGGGCUGCCCUCCGCCUUCUCGCCAUGGACGCGGACGACUCCCGGGACACCAAGGGCUCCUUGCGGAAGUUCCUGGAGCACCUCUUCGGGGCCCGCAAGGCCAUCGGCGUGCUGACCAGCGGCGGGGAUGCUCAAGGACGCAAGGAUUGAGAACAAUGGACUUUUUGAUGUGUGUUGCAACAAACGCAUAGCCGAGGGCUGUAAAUCGGAGGGAUCACCAGGUCUGCCUACCAGCCACCAGGCAAGUGGGGAGAAGCUGUCACCCCAACUUGAGUUUCAAGAAGACUCCUUGGAAGAAAAGACCACCAAAUUGAGAAUGAAAAGAUCAUACACGGGGGUCGUCAGACAUGGUCUGAGACCUGCUGGGAAGAACAGCAGCCUGGCCCUGCUACCCCCUGGCUUCUGCUCACAGCACUGACCCCAGCUAAUCCAAGAACAUGUCACCUAUAAUGAGAAUAUUGAAGAAAAAUCAACCAUCUUCCAGAUGUGUCUAUAUCAUGAUAUGGUACAUGGGUAAGUAAGUUGUAGCUAUUCUUGAGAUGGGGCAGUGGCUCCAUGCUCUGGCCCCCGACCUCAGCAGCUGUCCCAGCUCAUCACCCUGAGUGCCAGCUUUCCCAUCUCAUCUCAGGAUCUGCACUGGACGGCACCAGGGCUUUCUUCAGCGAACAUCUAAACUCUCUCAAGUGUCUCCAGAGACUUUCACAUGUCUACAAAGAUGACCUCAUUCUGUAACAGCAUGGAUUUAACUUGCUCUUCGAUGUCACUCCUUCACAGAGUGCACUGUUCAUCGUCACCCUAUCCACUAGCGUCAGUCUUACUAAAAGUCAAACAUCAAUGUUAGUGGUAACUCUGGAGGCCUGGCAUUGUAGCGAUAUCCCCAAGAGAAAAUUGUUUUGAACCUUUGUGGGAAAAGUUCAUGUACCUUUUAUUCAAACGCUAGUUUUUAUAAUCUCGCUACCAUGUGGCUUUCCUGAAGGAUGAAAUUUCUAAUGUCCUUCAGGUAGAGAGAGGUAAAAAGUAUUCUAGAACAUUAAUUGCCCACUCCUCUCAUCCCUUCUCAGAAACUAACUGAAUUCCAGUGUGUGUGCCUGGCAAACCCAAACACGGUUUUCCGUUCAGGAUGCUGGUCUUACCUGUGAAGGCGUUCAUGAACGUGGAGAGGGACCGGUUCAACAUUUUGAAGAAAGGGUCUCUGCAUGGGUAUUUCCGAGACCCACAAAGGACAGUAUGCUCAAGAAUGUGAGGAACACCGGUACUGUCCACGGGAGUGGUGCGGAACUGCACGCUAGGGAAGAAGGAACGGCUCGCCAGGAAGGGGGAGGAACAAGGAACAGAAGGCCAGCGACGGGGAGAAACAGAACGCUAGGGAAGGAGAAUGACUAGAAUACAAAACGUUCAUCUUAGUGCUGUGGACACAGUUCCCAGACGCAUCAUCACCUCGGGCUACUAGAAAUCAUUCUGACACCACAAUCCUCCAACCCAGGGUUUCCCAACUGUAAUGUAAAUCAUUGAUUCAGACUAUAAAAUUAUAUUUUGAUGAGAUUGUAAGUCCGUGUAAGCUUUUCCUUAUUUUUCAAGAUGCUCUGUCAAUAAAAAUACUAGUGAGAUGAUAUUUUAACCACGUAACAUACAGUCAGUGCUUUAAACCAAGCUUGUCUAACCCACAGCCUGCAGUCCGCAUGCUCAGGAUGGCUUGGAAUGCAU